AUGCCAGUGAAACGAGAAUGGGGGGUUCCUCUUCCUCUCUGUUCCAAACAAACACAAACCCUAGCCCUUCUAUUCUUCACCUGCGGAAGCUCUACUCCCUCUCGCUCUAUCCCAUUGUUCUUCUUCUUCCCUGUCCCCACAGAAAAGAGUGAAACCCUAACCUCAAAACCCAGCGGCGGCGCGUUUGUGAGCGGCGGUGAUGGUGAUGUUGCAGUUAUGAGGUGGUUUGCGCAAAGAGGGAGGCGCGAUUCUGGCGGUUGGCGUAGCGCAACUUCGGUUUACAAAGGCGGACGACGAUUCUAG
Molecule: non-coding RNA, 303 nt
Organism: Vicia faba (fava bean)
Lineage: Eukaryota; Viridiplantae; Streptophyta; Magnoliopsida; Fabales; Fabaceae
Source: the annotation of a GenBank genome assembly